Molecule: long non-coding RNA, 250 nt
Filed under: Malus domestica (apple)
Lineage: Eukaryota; Viridiplantae; Streptophyta; Magnoliopsida; Rosales; Rosaceae
Description: long non-coding RNA (MDOM_LNC020882)
Source: RNAcentral
CACCGUAACCGAUUUUCUCUCAUAUUUCCUUCAAUUUCGGCUACUCCUACUUUACCCCGGAUAUCCUCAUUCCUAAUCUUAUCCUUUCUCGCGUGCCCACACAUCCAACGAAGCAUCCUCAUCUCCGCUACACCCAUUUUGUGUACGUGUUGAUGCUUCACCGCCCAAUAUUCUGUGCCAUACAGCAUCGCCGGCCUUAUUGCCGUCCUAUAAAAUUUUCCCUUGAGCUUCAGUGGCAUACGGCGGUCAC